GAAUUGCGAUAUGUAAUGUGAAUUGCAGAUUUUCAGUGAAUCAUCGAAUCUUUGAACGCAUCUUGCGCUCCUUGGUAUUCCGAGGAGCAUGCCUGUUUGAGUGUCAUUAAAUUCUCAACUCCCUUUGAUUUCUUCAAGGGUGAGCUUGGAUUGUGGAGGCUUUGCUGGCUGUAAAGUCAGCUCCUCUGAAAUGCAUUGGCAAAGGUUGUGUGCAUGAAAUAUGGCCUUUCGGUGUGAUAAUGAUCACUGUGGGCUGGUUGCUUUAACACCUAUGUCCAACUUUUUCCAGCUGGAAAAAAAUGCUUGACAACUUGACCUCAAAUCAGGUAGGACUACCCGCUGAACUUAA
RNAcentral lists this unclassified non-coding RNA (349 nucleotides) under uncultured Coniophora. RNAcentral describes it as "sequence contains ITS1". The stretch from base 1 to 106 matches the Rfam family "5.8S ribosomal RNA", at positions 50 to 154 of the family's 154-position model. The record is from RNAcentral. Lineage: Eukaryota; Fungi; Basidiomycota; Agaricomycetes; Boletales; Coniophoraceae.